AUCCCUUUAUUCCAGAACACAUAACUUAAAGUCACACUUUCCUGAGAUCAGAGCAGAGGAUGGCAGAGAACCAAAGUCACGAGUGUGUGAAACAACGGAGAGGAGCGGCACUGUGCGGCCUGGAGCUCAAGACACUUGCAUGAGCGGUGACGUGAUUGAAUGGAAGCAACGAAGUGGAGGAGAAACCAGGCUGGGGAGAGCUGGCAUCCCCUUGGGAGAAGCCUUUCCAACAAUGGACUGAAAGCGUCCCCUCAGUGAUUCCUGUGUGCACCCAGGGUUGAGAACUACUGCAUAAGAGGUCCUAGAAGAUAUCUGGUAUGGCCAGAGUACAGAGGGACCGGAGGUAAGCCAGGAGAGACAUGCAGAGCAAAGAGUUGAGGUCUCCAUCUUCUGUGGGCAGCAUCUGGCCUGUUCUGCUUCCUCUGAUUCUCACCAAAGUGUUGGCCCAAAUGAUUUUUAAAUUUGAAUUCAUUGCCAUUAUUAAAAAUAUAUAGAUGUCACACA
Molecule: long non-coding RNA, 504 nt
Filed under: Pan troglodytes (chimpanzee)
Lineage: Eukaryota; Metazoa; Chordata; Mammalia; Primates; Hominidae
Description: long non-coding RNA NONPTRT010146
Source: RNAcentral